UACGUAGGGACCAAGCGUUGUCCGGAAUCAUUGGGCGUAAAGAGCGUGUAGGCGGCUUGUUAAGUCUUGCGUGAAAUCUCGGGGCUCAACCCCGAGCGGUCGUGAGAAACUGGCAGGCUAGAGUGCGGGAGAGGAGAGUGGAAUUCCUGGUGUAGCGGUGAAAUGCGCAGAUAUCAGGAAGAACACCCGUGGCGAAGGCGGCUCUCUGGGCCGAUACUGACGCCGAGGAGCGAAAGCGUGGGGAGCGAACAGG
This 253-nucleotide ribosomal RNA is filed under the name uncultured bacterium. RNAcentral describes it as "partial 16S ribosomal RNA". It matches the Rfam family "Bacterial small subunit ribosomal RNA", at positions 524 to 776 of the family's 1533-position model. The record is from RNAcentral.